UUGAUGUCACACAACCUCAACACCAAUUCAGUUUCCCCGCUAUAUUUAGCGGGGAAACUGAAUUGGUGUUGAGGAAACAACCCUGCUAAAUGGCACAUGACUUCAUGCCACGUCACUCACAAACAAAUUCAGUUCCUCAGCUAGAUUUAGCAGAAAAAUUGACAUUGCGUGACCUCAACACAAAUUCAAUUUCUCACUAAAUUCAGCAAGGUGAUCAUGCAGACGGCGACGCAAUGAAGCGUGGAAAUGGGCACCUAAGAGCUGCACUCUAAACCAGUUUUUCUCUGUUGCCGGUGCACAAGCAGGUAAUGUGCAUCCAACGUUCCACUGGAUCUGUCCAAAGGGCAGGCUGAUACUGCGGCAGACGCCACUGAGCGGACACACUGCAAAAAGGCGUCGGGCGUUUUCCGAAGUUUGUCAACUGACCUAGAUCUGAGAACGUUGGUACAUGUAUUGCUACCGUUGCCAAGCAGGACUGGAGAUUGUUAGAGUGUGAACAAUGUUCACACUUUGGUCAAUGCAAGCACAUCUUUUUUUUUUAGUAAUAUUGACUAACAAGAUUGCAGCAAUCAAACAAGUUAACACCGAAAUGUUAAAAGCAAUAAAGAAAUUAAAGCCCG
This 620-nucleotide long non-coding RNA is filed under the name Ixodes scapularis (black-legged tick). Its description in RNAcentral is "uncharacterized LOC120846849". Lineage: Eukaryota; Metazoa; Arthropoda; Arachnida; Ixodida; Ixodidae. The record is from RNAcentral.